Molecule: ribosomal RNA, 454 nt
Filed under: uncultured bacterium
Lineage: Bacteria
Description: partial 16S ribosomal RNA
Rfam family: Bacterial small subunit ribosomal RNA
Source: RNAcentral
GAUGAACGCUGACAGAAUGCUUAACACAUGCAAGUCAACUUGAACUUCGGUUUGGGUGGCGGACGGGUGAGUAACGCGUAAAGAACUUGCCUCACAGCUAGGGACAACAUUUGGAAACGAAUGCUAAUACCUGAUAUUAUGAUUAUAUGGCAUCGUAUAAUUAUGAAAGCUAUAUGCGCUGUGAGAGAGCUUUGCGUCCCAUUAGCUAGUUGGAGAGGUAACAGCUCACCAAGGCGAUGAUGGGUAGCCGGCCUGAGAGGGUGAUCGGCCACAAGGGGACUGAGACACGGCCCUUACUCCUACGGGAGGCAGCAGUGGGGAAUAUUGGACAAUGGACCGAGAGUCUGAUCCAGCAAUUCUGUGUACACGAUGAAGUUUUUCGGAAUGUAAAGUGCUUUCAGUUGGGAAGAAAAAAAUGACGGUACCAACAGAAGAGGUGACGGCUAAAUACGUG